Long non-coding RNA from Xenia sp. Carnegie-2017, 1287 nucleotides. RefSeq lists it as uncharacterized. Lineage: Eukaryota; Metazoa; Cnidaria; Anthozoa; Malacalcyonacea; Xeniidae. The transcript is spliced from 7 exons. The record is from RefSeq and is a predicted model, not a curated record.
AAUGGCAGCGCGAUGAAUACAAUCGAGAAGAAGACGAUAUUGGUGUUUUAGACCUAACACAGUUCUGUAAUAUGCAUCAGUUCAUAUUAUGUUGUGCUCCCAAUGUAUGCGAUGUGUUUUCAACCUUUAAUAACAAAGAUUAUCUAAAGGUGGAUGAAGAAAGAGAUGCGUUUGAAAUCGUGUUUCACCGUUAUAACAUUUCUUCUGAAGUGGUCCCACUUGCUGAUUUAUCCGAUGUUGAUUUACGGGACGAUAGUUCUCCCAGCCAUCUCAUUAUGAGCUCGAUGUUGAUGAGAUAUUUGUCUAGCCAUGAAGAAGGAGCUAAAAUUAAGCAUCAGUUCAUGAGUUCUUUGUUCGAGAAAAGGUAAAGCGUUGCGCGUAUCACAUAGCAUGCUUAAUAUUCGUCUUUUGUGACUGAGAGUUUACAUUUUUACAGAGGUGAAGAAUACGAUAUUUACCACGACAGCAAUUUAAAGGAAACUGUAAAAGUUGUACCGAUACUUUUACGCUUUAAGACGAGAUUAGAGCAACUGCUUGUUGAAUGGCCGGAGCAUCCAACGCUCGCUCAAGUAAAGAAGAGACUCGAGAUCGAAGCAAAUCCUGUGAAAUAUUAUAUUGGUUUUUCAACUUUAUCGAUUCUUAUUUUACAGUUGUGUCGAACCAUCGAGCGUAUUCUUUCAUUUUCUGUAACAAGUCCUGUAAUGAAAAUUCUUAAUGGUUUAGAAAUCUUGUUAAAGUAUUCACAGGAGUGGGAAUGUAAUGCCAGUCGCCAUGUUUCCAUAAGAAUCAAUCUGAAUGAAGUCACCCAAAUGAUUAUCCAAUAGAGAAAGUUAGAGUUAAGGUGCUGGUCUUCUUUGUUGCGAGUUUGUGAAGUGAACGUGAGCGAUAGAGCCAAUCAUUGGUGGUUUCAUCUUCAUCACGUGAUCCAGGAAUUUUCCGCACUAAUGAACAAGCGGAUUGCACGGAAUUCAUCAAUAUCUUACAGCAGUUUAUUGAGAAAUCGUCCAUAGGAGAAUUUUGUCAUAGAUUAAACAUGCUACGGGCCUUUCAUUCUCAGAAAAUGUUGGACAAAGAAGAUAAUUCAGAUAUCGUGUUGAUUAUACUGUGGAACGUAUAUUGUUACUACAAACAAUUUCAGGCGCAAGUGAAUGAUUUUAUUCAGAAAGCAAAGACUCCGAUCGAGAAAGAGUUGAAGGAUUUCAUCAAGAUUAUCAAGUGGAAAGACAUCAAUUAUUGGGCAAUGAAGGAAACGUCGUCAAAGUCUCAUUAUACUUUGCUGAAAUUCAU